GCCGAAGUGGCGGAAUUGGUAGACGCGCACGAUUCAGGGUCGUGUGCCUCACGGCGUGUGGGUUCGAGUCCCACCUUCGGCA
This 82-nucleotide transfer RNA is filed under the name Truepera radiovictrix DSM 17093. It matches the Rfam family "tRNA". From Rfam's summary of the family: Transfer RNA (tRNA) molecules are approximately 80 nucleotides in length. Their secondary structure includes four short double-helical elements and three loops (D, anti-codon, and T loops). Further hydrogen bonds mediate the characteristic L-shaped molecular structure. tRNAs have two regions of fundamental functional importance: the anti-codon, which is responsible for specific mRNA codon recognition, and the 3' end, to which the tRNAs corresponding amino acid is attached (by aminoacyl-tRNA synthetases). tRNAs cope with the degeneracy of the genetic code in two manners: having more than one tRNA (with a specific anti-codon) for a particular amino acid; and 'wobble' base-pairing, i.e. permitting non-standard base-pairing at the 3rd anti-codon position. Lineage: Bacteria; Thermotogati; Deinococcota; Deinococci; Trueperales; Trueperaceae. The record is from Rfam by way of RNAcentral.